GACGAACGCUGGCGGCGUGCCUAAUACAUGCAAGUUGAGCGCUGAAGGUUGGUACUUGUACCAACUGGAUGAGCAGCGAACGGGUGAGUAACGCGUGGGGAAUCUGCCUUUGAGCGGGGGACAACAUUUGGAAACGAGUGCUAAUACCGCAUAAAAACUUUAAACACAAGUUUUAAGUUUGAAAGAUGCAAUUGCAUCACUCAAAGAUGAUCCCGCGUUGUAUUAGCUAGUUGGUGAGGUAAAGGCUCACCAAGGCGAUGAUACAUAGCCGACCUGAGAGGGUGAUCGGCCACAUUGGGACUGAGACACGGCCCAAACUCCUACGGGAGGCAGCAGUAGGGAAUCUUCGGCAAUGGACGAAAGUUUGACCGAGCAACGCCGCGUGAGUGAAGAAGGUUUUCGGAUCGUAAAACUCUGUUGGUAGAGAAGAACGUUGGUGAGAGUGGAAAGCUCAUCAAGUGACGGUAACUACCCAGAAAGGGACGGCUAACUACGUG
Molecule: ribosomal RNA, 497 nt
Filed under: uncultured bacterium
Lineage: Bacteria
Description: partial 16S ribosomal RNA
Rfam family: Bacterial small subunit ribosomal RNA
Source: RNAcentral